RNAcentral lists this ribosomal RNA (749 nucleotides) under uncultured Lachnospiraceae bacterium. Its description in RNAcentral is "bacterial SSU rRNA". It matches the Rfam family "Bacterial small subunit ribosomal RNA", at positions 28 to 776 of the family's 1533-position model. Lineage: Bacteria; Bacillati; Bacillota; Clostridia; Lachnospirales; Lachnospiraceae. The record is from RNAcentral.
GAUGAACGCUGGCGGCGUGCUUAACACAUGCAAGUCGAACGGAGUUUGUAUGGAAUGAGUCUUCGGACAAGUGAAAUAUAAACUUAGUGGCGGACGGGUGAGUAACGUGUGGGUAACCUACCCUAUACAGGAGGAUAACAGUAAGAAAUUACUGCUAAAACUGCAUAAGAUUACGAGUUCGCAUGAACGAGUGAUAAAAACUUUAGUGGUAUAGGAUGGGCCCGCAUCUGAUUAGGUAGUUGGUGGAGUAAAAGCCUACCAAGCCGACGAUCAGUAGCCGAUCUGAGAGGAUGACCGGCCACAUUGGGACUGAGACACGGCCCAAACUCCUACGGGAGGCAGCAGUGGGGAAUAUUGGACAAUGGGGGAAACCCUGAUCCAGCGACGCCGCGUGAGUGAAGAAGUAUUUCGGUAUGUAAAGCUCUAUCAGCAGGGAAGAAAAUGACGGUACCUGACUAAGAAGCCCCGGCUAACUACGUGCCAGCAGCCGCGGUAAUACGUAGGGGGCAAGCGUUAUCCGGAUUUACUGGGUGUAAAGGGAGCGUAGACGGCGAUGUAAGUCUGAAGUGAAAGCCCACGGCUCAACUGUGGGACUGCUUUGGAAACUAUGUAGCUAGAGUAUCGGAGAGGCAAGCGGAAUUCCUAGUGUAGCGGUGAAAUGCGUAGAUAUUAGGAGGAACACCGGAGGCGAAGGCGGCUUGCUGGACGAAGACUGACGUUGAGGCUCGAAGGCGUGGGGAGCAAACAGG